AUUGAACGCUGGCGGCAGGCCUAACACAUGCAAGUCGAGCGGAUGAAGGGAGCUUGCUCCUGGAUUCAGCGGCGGACGGGUGAGUAAUGCCUAGGAAUCUGCCUGGUAGUGGGGGAUAACGUCCGGAAACGGGCGCUAAUACCGCAUACGUCCUGAGGGAGAAAGUGGGGGAUCUUCGGACCUCACGCUCUCAGAUGAGCCUAGGUCGGAUUAGCUAGUUGGUGGGGUAAAGGCCUACCAAGGCGACGUUCCGUAACUGGCGUGAGAGGAUGAUCAGUCACACUGGAACUGAGACACGGUCCAGACUCCUACGGGAGGCAGCAGUGGGGAAUAUUGGACAAUGGGCGAAAGCCUGAUCCAGCCAUGCCGCGUGUGUGAAGAAGGUCUUCGGAUUGUAAAGCACUUUAAGUUGGGAGGAAGGGCAGUAAGUUAAUACCUUGCUGUUUUGACGUUACCAACAGAAUAAGCACCGGCUAACUUCGUG
RNAcentral lists this ribosomal RNA (484 nucleotides) under uncultured bacterium. RNAcentral describes it as "partial 16S ribosomal RNA". It matches the Rfam family "Bacterial small subunit ribosomal RNA", at positions 30 to 507 of the family's 1533-position model. The record is from RNAcentral.